Molecule: long non-coding RNA, 314 nt
Organism: Austrofundulus limnaeus
Lineage: Eukaryota; Metazoa; Chordata; Actinopteri; Cyprinodontiformes; Rivulidae
Exons: 2
Source: RefSeq, a predicted model, not a curated record
GGUUCUUCUCUUUAGGCAGCACUGGAGCGAAAGAAUAUGCCCUGAUUUGCAUUAAUCUACUAAGUUUUGAAGGCAGAUCACAUGGGAUUACAAUUUUAUAAACCUAGUGACAGACUGAGAAGUUCUAAUCAGAAGAACAGAGGGUUUUGCUCAUUCAGACUCUGAAGAGAGCACAUCAAGACAAAAGACUGACAGGACGGCUCAGAUUGUCAGGAUUAGACGUGAUGUUAAAAUGUAAAUAUACUUUAGUAUACACAUACUGUGACUGCAGCACCUGCAGCCACACAGUAAAUAAAGGUUGUGUCAGUAUUUUA